CAGCCGCCGCGGUAAUACAGAGGGUGCAAGCGUUAAUCGGAAUUACUGGGCGUAAAGCGCGCGUAGGUGGUUUGUUAAGUUGGAUGUGAAAGCCCCGGGCUCAACCUGGGAACUGCAUCCAAAACUGGCAAGCUAGAGUACGGUAGAGGGUGGUGGAAUUUCCUGUGUAGCGGUGAAAUGCGUAGAUAUAGGAAGGAACACCAGUGGCGAAGGCGACCACCUGGACUGAUACUGACACUGAGGUGCGAAAGCGUGGGGAGCAAACAGGAUUAGAUACCCCCGUAGUCCCUGUCUCUUAUAC
This 301-nucleotide ribosomal RNA is filed under the name uncultured bacterium. RNAcentral describes it as "partial 16S ribosomal RNA". It matches the Rfam family "Bacterial small subunit ribosomal RNA", at positions 509 to 807 of the family's 1533-position model. The record is from RNAcentral.